RNAcentral lists this transfer RNA (72 nucleotides) under Ovis aries (sheep). It matches the Rfam family "tRNA". Rfam says of the family: Transfer RNA (tRNA) molecules are approximately 80 nucleotides in length. Their secondary structure includes four short double-helical elements and three loops (D, anti-codon, and T loops). Further hydrogen bonds mediate the characteristic L-shaped molecular structure. tRNAs have two regions of fundamental functional importance: the anti-codon, which is responsible for specific mRNA codon recognition, and the 3' end, to which the tRNAs corresponding amino acid is attached (by aminoacyl-tRNA synthetases). tRNAs cope with the degeneracy of the genetic code in two manners: having more than one tRNA (with a specific anti-codon) for a particular amino acid; and 'wobble' base-pairing, i.e. permitting non-standard base-pairing at the 3rd anti-codon position. Lineage: Eukaryota; Metazoa; Chordata; Mammalia; Artiodactyla; Bovidae. The record is from Rfam by way of RNAcentral.
UCCCCAGUGGCUCAGACAGUAAAGAAUCUGCCUGCAAUGCAGGAGACCUGGGUUCAAUUCCUAGGUUAGGAA